Molecule: ribosomal RNA, 844 nt
Filed under: Rhizophagus intraradices
Lineage: Eukaryota; Fungi; Glomeromycota; Glomeromycetes; Glomerales; Glomeraceae
Description: eukaryotic LSU rRNA
Rfam family: Eukaryotic large subunit ribosomal RNA
Source: RNAcentral
ACCUCAAAUCAGGUAAGAAUACCCGCUGAACUUAAGCAUAUCAAUAAGCGGAGGAAAAGAAAAUAACAAUGAUUCCCUUAGUAACUGCGAGUGAAGAGGGACAAGCUCAAAUUUUAAAUCUGUUAGGUUCAUCUAACCGAGUUGUAAUUUGAAGAGGCGUUUUCUGCGUUUUUGAUCAGUCCAAGUCCUUUGGAAUAAGGCAUCAUGGAGGGUGAGAAUCCCGUUCGGUUGAUCAAAUUUGCUUUAUGAUACGUCAUCUAAGAGUCAAGUUGUUUGGGAUUGCAGCUUAAAAUGGGAGGUAAAUUUCUCCUAAGGCUAAAUAACGGCGAGAGACCGAUAGCGAACAAGUACCGUGAGGGAAAGAUGAAAAGAACUUUGAAAAGAGAGUCAAAUAGUACGUGAAAUUGUUGAAAGGGAAACGAUUGAAGUCAGUCGUACCUGCGGGAUAAUCAGCCUUUCGAGUAUGAUUCUGUGGAGUGUAAGGAGUUUAACCGUCUUCAUACCUGCAUAUUCGUGCGCUUUGGGUGUACUUGUCCGUAUGGUAGGUUAACAUCAAUUUUGGUCGUUAUAAAAUGACUAGGGGAAUGUAGCUUUGAUCCCGUAUUGAAGUGUUAUAGUCUCUGGUAAAUGCAGUGACUAGGAUUGAGGAUUGCAACGGAUACCUUUCGGGGCUACUCGUCUGAUCUCUGGAAGUUACUUUGGUGCUAAAAGCUUGCUUAUGGUUAUCGAAGUUGACGGUCAAUAGGUUAGAACGAGUUAAAUUCGUUAAGGAUGUUGACGUAAUGGCUUUAAACGACCCGUCUUGAAACACGGACCAAGGAGUCUAACAUAUAUGCGAGUGUUA